GUCUUCUCCCAUUUUCUUGCAUAGUUAGCUGGCAUUUAUCUCCUGUAAUAUUUAUUUUGUAAGACCCAUCUUUUGGAUAUACAUAUAGCGUUACCAUUUUUCAGUUUUCUAAUUCAUUGACUUCUACCUUUACCUUUACUAAUUCCUUAUUUCUGUUUUCCUUUCGGUCCUUUUCUAUCUCCUUUAGUUACAUGUUUAAUUCAUUUAUAGUCAUGCUUUCUUAUUCAUUAAUAUAAGUUUACAGGCUAUGAUUUAUCCUCCUAUUCAUUAACAUAAGCUUGUAGACUAUAAUUUAUCCUCUGACUGUAAAUCCUAUGUGCUGUUAUGUAGUAUUUUCCUUAUUCUUAUGUUCUGUUAUUUAUGUUUAUAAGUUGUUUAAGAAAAGGUUUCUAAAUAUCUAGUAGUGGGGCUUUUUGACUAUCCGAUUUUAUUAAAUUUGAGUUUAUUGCAUUUAUAUUACACAGUUUUGUCUAUAUCAUUAUAUGAUAGUUAUUCAUGUUUUCUUUGUGGCAUAUGAUAUGGUCAUUCCUUUUACUAUCCUACUGAUAGUUAAAAAGUAGGCAUAUUCUUUAUUUUUAAGAUACAAAGUUCAGUAUGUAGCAAUUAAAUCUACCUUAUAAAUCUACCUCGUACUUAUAUUUUUUAAUACUAAGUUAUUAUCGUCUGCUCUUUUUUGUCCCCUUGCUUUGUUACAAACCAAAAAAGGUAUUCACCUGUUAUAACUAACAUUUUUCUAUUUCCCUAGCAUUAUACAGCAUAAUAUAUCUAUUAGUCUAGCAUCAUAUAUCUCUAGCAUUUUCUGUAUAAAUGUUGAUUCUUUAUUAUUUAGUGCCUAUUAUUUACAACUAUUGUAUAUUUAUUGGAAAUUGUACAUAUUAGUAUUAUUGGUACCUUUCUUUAGGUGUGUUUAUCUUUUGCUGUAAUUUAUAUUUAAAUAAACCCA
Molecule: long non-coding RNA, 943 nt
Filed under: Homo sapiens (human)
Lineage: Eukaryota; Metazoa; Chordata; Mammalia; Primates; Hominidae
Description: non-protein coding lnc-ADCYAP1-8:1
Source: RNAcentral